GAGGUCCAACCUGCCCAGUGACAAUGUUCAACGGCCGCGGUAUCCUAACCGUGCGAAGGUAGCGUAAUCACUUGUCCUUUAAAUGAGGACUAGUAUGAACGGUUUCACGAAGGCUGCACUGUCUCCUUUUUCUAAUCAGUAAAACUAAUCUUCCCGUGAAGAAGCGGGAAUUUUCCUAUAAGACGAGAAGACCCUAUGGAGCUUUAAACAAUUGAUACACUUGCAUCUUAAACCUCGCUUUUUAUUUAACCAAGCAUUUUGUUUCUAGUUUUAGGUUGGGGUGACCGCGGAGAAAAACCUAUCCUCCAUGUCGAAAGAAAUUCUAUUUCUUAGCAAAAAGCCACAUCUUUAUGCAUCAACAAAUUGACCCUAAUUGACCCAAUAAUUUGAUCAACGAACCAAGUUACCCUAGGGAUAACAGCGCAAUCCACUUCAAGAGCUCUUAUCGACAAGUGGGUUUACGACCUCGAUGUUGGAUCAGGGUAUCCAAGUGGUGCAGUAGCUACUAAAGGUUCGUUUGUUCAACGAUUAAAAC
This 535-nucleotide ribosomal RNA is filed under the name Mannophryne sp. ULABG 4465. RNAcentral's name for it is "partial 16S ribosomal RNA". It matches the Rfam family "Bacterial large subunit ribosomal RNA", at positions 1849 to 2594 of the family's 2925-position model. RNAcentral also lists the same sequence under 1 other name. The record is from RNAcentral. Lineage: Eukaryota; Metazoa; Chordata; Amphibia; Anura; Aromobatidae.